GAGCGAUGGAAGCUUGCUUCUAUCAAUCUUAGUGGCGAACGGGUGAGCAACGCGUAAUCAACCUGCCCUUCAGAGGGGGACAACAGUUGGAAACGACUGCUAAUACCGCAUACGAUCUAACCUUGGCAUCGAGGAUGGAUGAAAGGUGGCCUCUAUUUAUAAGCUAUCACUGAAGGAGGGGAUUGCGUCUGAUUAGCUAGUUGGAGGGGUAACGGCCCACCAAGGCGAUGAUCAGUAGCCGGUCUGAGAGGAUGAACGGCCACAUUGGGACUGAGACACGGCCCAGACUCCUACGGGAGGCAGCAGUGGGGAAUCUUCCGCAAUGGACGAAAGUCUGACGGAGCAACGCCGCGUGAGUGAUGACGGCCUUCGGGUUGUAAAGCUCUGUUAAUCGGGACG
This 399-nucleotide ribosomal RNA is filed under the name uncultured Veillonella sp. RNAcentral describes it as "bacterial SSU rRNA". It matches the Rfam family "Bacterial small subunit ribosomal RNA", at positions 68 to 447 of the family's 1533-position model. The record is from RNAcentral. Lineage: Bacteria; Bacillati; Bacillota; Negativicutes; Veillonellales; Veillonellaceae.